This 407-nucleotide unclassified non-coding RNA is filed under the name uncultured Rhizophagus. Its description in RNAcentral is "sequence contains 28S rRNA gene". Lineage: Eukaryota; Fungi; Glomeromycota; Glomeromycetes; Glomerales; Glomeraceae. The record is from RNAcentral.
AGUUAAACAGUACGUGAAAUUGUUGAAAGGGAAACGAUUGAAGCCAGUCGUACCUUCGGGUAAUCAGCCUUUCGGGUGUGAUUCUGUGGAGUGUGAGGAGCUUAAACACCUUCAUGUUUUGCAUAUUCGUACUCUUGGGUGUACUUGCCCGUGUGGUUGGUUAACAUCAAUUUUGGUGGUCAUAAAAUGACUGGAGGAAUGUAGCUUCGAUCUUGUAUUGAAGUGUUAUAGCCUUCGGUAGAUGUGAUGAUCGAGAUUGAGGAUUGCAACGGAUACCCUUCGGGGCUACCUGUCUGGUCUCUGAUCGUUGCUCUGGUGCCGAAAGCUUGCUUACGGUUAUCAAAGUCGAUGGUCAAUAGGUUAGAAUGGGUUAAAUUCGUUAAGGAUGUUGACGUAAUGGCUUUAAA